CGGGCUGGAACCUCUCGGGGUUACAGCCUUGCUGAAUUAUUCACCCUUGUCUUUUGCGUACUUCUUGUUUCCUUGGUGGGUUCGCCCACCACUAGGACAAACAUAAACCUUUUGUAAUUGCAAUCAGCGUCAGUAACAAAUUAAUAAUUACAACUUUCAACAACGGAUCUCUUGGUUCUGGCAUCGAUGAAGAACGCAGCGAAAUGCGAUAAGUAGUGUGAAUUGCAGAAUUCAGUGAAUCAUCGAAUCUUUGAACGCACAUUGCGCCCUUUGGUAUUCCAAAGGGCAUGCCUGUUCGAGCGUCAUUUGUACCCUCAAGCUUUGCUUGGUGUUGGGCGUCUUGUCUCUAGCUUUGCUGGAGACUCGCCUUAAAGUAAUUGGCAGCCGGCCUACUGGUUUCGGAGCGCAGCACAAGUCGCACUCUCUAUCAGCAAAGGUCUAGCAUCCAUUAAGCCUUUUUUUCAACUUUUGACCUCGGAUCAGGUAGGGAUACCCGCUGAACUUAAGCAUAUCAAUAAGC
Molecule: ribosomal RNA, 520 nt
Filed under: Alternaria alternata
Lineage: Eukaryota; Fungi; Ascomycota; Dothideomycetes; Pleosporales; Pleosporaceae
Description: eukaryotic LSU rRNA
Rfam family: 5.8S ribosomal RNA (bases 152-305)
Source: RNAcentral